Ornithorhynchus anatinus (platypus) is the source of this 138-nucleotide non-coding RNA. Lineage: Eukaryota; Metazoa; Chordata; Mammalia; Monotremata; Ornithorhynchidae. The record is from Rfam.
AUCCUCUCAGGAUCGUGCCUGGAGAGUCUCCAGUACUCUACCAGCCUUGGCUACGGAAGGGAGAGUCAAGCAGAGGCCUAACCAUUCCAUUCCUAGCUUGGGCAGUGGCUAGUGAGUGGAAGGCCAUCUGCUACAAGU